RNAcentral lists this long non-coding RNA (659 nucleotides) under Homo sapiens (human). RNAcentral's name for it is "long non-coding RNA NONHSAT198188.1". The record is from RNAcentral. Lineage: Eukaryota; Metazoa; Chordata; Mammalia; Primates; Hominidae.
GCAGAAUUUACAGGACAUUAAGACGGCUGGCCCUCAGUCCCAGGUUUUGUGUGGUGUAGUGAUGGACAGGAGCCUCGUCCAGGGAGAGCUGGUGACGGCCUCCAAGGCCAUCAUUGAAAAGGAGUACCAGCCCCACGUCAUUGUGAGCACCACGGGCCCCAACCCCUUCACCACACUCACAGACCGUGAGCUGGAGGAGUACCGCAGGGAGGUGGAGAGGAAGCAGAAGGGCUCUGAAGAGAAUCUGGACGAGGCUAGAGAACAGAAAGAAAAGAGUCCUCCAGACCAGCCUGCGGUCCCCCACCCGCCUCCCAGCACUCCCAUCAAGCUGGAGGAAGGAGACGGAUGCGCUAGAGAGUACCUGUUACCCUAACCUUGUGCCGGAGCCGACUACUGGAGAUGACAGUGAUGCUGCCACCUUUAAGCCAACUCUCCCCGAUCUGUCCCCUGAUGAACCUUCAGAAGCACUCGGCUUCCCAAUGUUAGAGAAGGAGGAGGAAGCCCAUAGACCCCCAAGCCCCACUGAGGCCCCUACUGAGGCCAGCCCCGAGCCAGCCCCAGACCCAGCCCCGGUGGCUGAAGAGGCUGCCCCCUCAGCUGUCGAGGAGGGGGCCGCCGCGGACCCUGGCAGCGAUGGGUCUCCAGGCAAGUCCCCGUCC